Molecule: small RNA, 321 nt
Filed under: Drosophila erecta
Lineage: Eukaryota; Metazoa; Arthropoda; Insecta; Diptera; Drosophilidae
Description: GG26559
Source: RNAcentral
CGGCAACUCAAGCUCAUUAAUUUAACUUACCCAAAAAGGAAACCAAGUGGGUGUGGAAAAUUCAGGCCAAACAAUGCCGAGAUAGAGGGACCGGGAAAACAGGAUGUGCGGCCAGGUACGAGGAGGCAACAAGGAGAAAACCACCAAGAAAAAGUAGCACGGAAGCGGAUUUUCAUUCAAGUUGCCAGGCAGGAGGAGAACUGGGGGACGCUUUCUCCAUCUCGGCCCACAUUUUCUCCUUGGUAAUGAUUCAGCAUUAAAUUUCGGGUGACUGAAGAAAGGCAAGAAACAACAAAAUCAGCAGCAACAGCAACAGCAACA